GAUGAAGAACGCAGCGAAAUGCGAUACUUGGUGUGAAUUGCAGAAUCCCGUGAACCAUCGAGUCUUUGAACGCAAGUUGCGCCCGAAGCCAUUAGGCCGAGGGCACGCCUGCCUGGGCGUCACACGUCGUUGCCCCCCCCAUCUACUCCUUCGGGAUUGCGGGGGGCGGAUGAUGGCCUCCCGUGCGCCUCGUCGCGCGGUUGGCAUAAAUACCAAGUCCUCGGCGACGCACGCCACGACAAUCGGUGGUUGCGAAACCUCGGUUGCCCGUCGUGUGCGGUCGUCGCGCAUCGAGGGCUCGAAAAAAUUGCCGGGCUCCGGCUCGGCUUUCAACGCGACCCCAGGUCAGGCGGGGUUACCCGCUGAAUUUAAGCAUAUCAAUAAGCGGAGGA
Molecule: unclassified non-coding RNA, 392 nt
Filed under: soil metagenome
Description: partial contains 5.8S ribosomal RNA, internal transcribed spacer 2, and large subunit ribosomal RNA
Rfam family: 5.8S ribosomal RNA (bases 1-122)
Source: RNAcentral